UGACACAGGGAGGUAGUGACAAGAAAUAACAAUACGGGGCUCAACGCCUUGUAAUUGGAAUGAUGGGAACCUAAACCCCUUCCAGAGUAUCAAUUGGAGGGCAAGUCUGGUGCCAGCAGCCGCGGUAAUUCCAGCUCCAAUAGCGUAUAUUAAAAUUGUUGCAGUUAAAAAGCUCGUAGUUGAAUUUCUGCCGCAUCGCCGCGGCCCUCCCGGGCCCAGCGUUGCGGCUUAUUUCCGACUCGCUUGCGUCUCCUAAUG
RNAcentral lists this ribosomal RNA (258 nucleotides) under Theileria mutans. RNAcentral's name for it is "partial small subunit ribosomal RNA". It matches the Rfam family "Eukaryotic small subunit ribosomal RNA", at positions 452 to 712 of the family's 1831-position model. Lineage: Eukaryota; Apicomplexa; Aconoidasida; Piroplasmida; Theileriidae. The record is from RNAcentral.